UAAUGAUGAUAGAAAAAAGGAAGCUUUGUUGGACCAAAGCUCCCCCUUGUAGAGCCGUAUAAGACGGUGUAUGACUAUUGGUUAAAUA
Molecule: small RNA, 88 nt
Filed under: Loigolactobacillus rennini DSM 20253
Lineage: Bacteria; Bacillati; Bacillota; Bacilli; Lactobacillales; Lactobacillaceae
Description: Lactobacillus rennini DSM 20253 RNA anti-toxin A
Rfam family: RNA anti-toxin A
Source: Rfam by way of RNAcentral